RNAcentral lists this ribosomal RNA (468 nucleotides) under uncultured bacterium. RNAcentral's name for it is "partial 16S ribosomal RNA". It matches the Rfam family "Bacterial small subunit ribosomal RNA", at positions 28 to 507 of the family's 1533-position model. The record is from RNAcentral.
GACGAACGCUGGCGGCGUGCUUAACACAUGCAAGUCGAACGGAAAGGCCCUGCUUUUUUGCGGUUCCCGAGUGCCGAUCGGGUGAGUAACACGUGUGUAACCUGCCCUUCUCUUUCGGAUAACUUCACGUAACUGGGGCUAAUAUCGUAUAGGAUCUCCUGCUCCAUGGUGGGCGUUGGAUAUUUUCGGCGGUUGGGGAUGGACGCGCGGCUUAUCAGCUUGUUGGUGGGGUAGUGGCUUACCAAGGCUUUGACGGGUAGCCGGCCUGGGAGGGUGACCGGCGACAUUGGGACUGAGAGACGGAGCAGACUGCAACGGGAGGCAGCAGGGGGGAGUAUUGCACAAUGAGCGGAAGCCUGAGGCAGAGACGCCGCGUGCGGGAUGACGGCCUUCGGGGUGUAAACCGCUGUCGCCUGUGACGAAGCGUGAGUGACGGUAAUGAGUAAAGAAGCACCGGCUAACUACGUG